This 29-nucleotide non-coding RNA is filed under the name Mus musculus (house mouse). Lineage: Eukaryota; Metazoa; Chordata; Mammalia; Rodentia; Muridae. The record is from RNAcentral.
UACCAAGAACGCAGUAGCUAGGCUCGACA